UACCAGCACCCCGAGUGGUCGGGACGAUUAUUGGGCCUAAAGCAUCCGUAGCCGGUUCUGCAAGUCUUCCGUUAAAUCCACCUGCUUAACAGAUGGGCUGCGGAAGAUACUAUAGAGCUAGGAGGCGGGAGAGGCAAGCGGUACUCGAUGGGUAGGGGUAAAAUCCGUUGAUCCAUUGAAGACCACCAGUGGCGAAGGCGGCUUGCCAGAACGCGCUCGACGGUGAGGGAUGAAAGCUGGGGGAGCAAACCGG
Molecule: ribosomal RNA, 253 nt
Filed under: uncultured bacterium
Lineage: Bacteria
Description: partial 16S ribosomal RNA
Rfam family: Archaeal small subunit ribosomal RNA
Source: RNAcentral